UGAGUUUGAUCCUGGCUCAGAAUGAACGCUAGCGAUAAGCUUAACACAUGCAAGUUGAACGUUUCUUUUUGCUUUUCAUUAGUUUGAAUGAGUAAAAAAGAAAAGUAGCGAACGGGUGAGUAACGCGUAAGAAUCUACCUUACAAACCAAGGAAAGAGAAAUCUGAAUCUUGGAUAAUCAAAGUCAAAAGACGUUGUGAGAUGAGCUUGCGUAGGAUUAGGUAGUUGGUAGGGUAAAAGCCUCCCAAGCCGAAGAUCCUUAGCUGAUCUGAGAGGAUGAUCAGCCACAUUGGGACUGAGACACGGCCCAAACGCUUUCGAGCGGCAGCAGUGAGGAAUAUUGGACAAUGGGCGAAAGCCUGAUCCAGCUAUAUCGCGUGGGUGAUGAAGACUGUGUUGGUUGUAAAACCCUUGACUCUUUGAAAGAUUAUGACAAACAAAGAGCAAAAAGUCCCGGCCAAUCUCGUGCCAGCAGCCGCGGUAAUACGAGAGGGGCGAGCGUUAUUCGGAAUGAUUGGGCGUAAAGCGCACGUAGGCGGUUUAGAAAAUCCGAAAUCGAGAAUCUCAAAGCUUUACUUUGAGAAGUAUUUUCUGUGAUUCCUAGACUUGAGUAAGUAAGAGGAGAAUGGAAUUCCUGGUGUAGAGGUAAAAUAUGUUGAUAUCAGGAGGAACAUCAAAAGCGAAGGCAAUUCUCUGGUACUAGACUGACGUUGAGGUGCGACAGCGUGGGGAUCAAAAGGGAUUAGAUACCCCUGUAGUCCACGCCGUCAACGAUGACCUUUCUAUGAAUAUCAAAAGCCGUCAUGAUUCAUGAUUCUUUUGACGUUUGUAUUAGCUAACGCGGUAAAUGGUCCGCCUGAGGAGUACGGUCGCAAGACUAAAACUCAAAGGAAUAGACGGGGGCUCACACAAGUGGUGGAACAUGUGGUUUAAUUCGAAACAACGCGCAAAACCUUACCAGUCCUUGACAUAAUCUUUUCAUAAUCUUUCCCUAAAAAAGAUAAUUUAAACUAACUAGAUUGGUUUAAUUUGAAGAUUACAGGUGUUGCAUGGCUGUCGUCAGUUCGUGUUGUGAAAUGUUGGAUUAAUUUCCUUAACGAACGAAACCCCUCUAUCCAUUCACAAAUUUUUUAAACAAAAAAUUUGGAAAUGGAUAUACAGCUGGUGAUAAACUAGAGGAAGGGAGGGAUCACGUCAAGUCCUCAUGACCCUUAUGGGCUGGGCUACACACGUGUUACAAUGGUAAGUACAAAGAGCAGCAAUGAUGAAAAUCGGAGCAAAUCUCAAAAAGCUUACCCCAGUUCAGAUUGUUCUCUGCAACUCGAGAACAUGAAGCCGGAAUCACUAGUAAUCGUGGAUCAGCACGCCACGGUGAAUAUGUACCUGAGCCUUGUACUCCCCGCCCGUCACGGUCUCAGAGUUGAGUGCAUCAGAAGUAAUGUAUCGUCCCUCAAAUACGUUUUUUUUAAUUCCCAUUAAAAAUGAAAUCUUGAAGAUUUUUUUCAACGUUUUGAAAGACGCAUUCCCAAGAUGUGUUUAGCGAUAGGAUCGAAGUCGUAACAAGGUAGCCGUAGGGGAACCUGCGGCUG
This 1588-nucleotide ribosomal RNA is filed under the name Chlorella sorokiniana. RNAcentral's name for it is "bacterial SSU rRNA". It matches the Rfam family "Bacterial small subunit ribosomal RNA". Lineage: Eukaryota; Viridiplantae; Chlorophyta; Trebouxiophyceae; Chlorellales; Chlorellaceae. The record is from RNAcentral.